UUUCGCGUUGGGCUUGCGGGCCAUGAUGCCAUUACCCACCGCAUGUAAAAGGUGAGUUUUACCCAAGCCAGUGCCGCCGU
RNAcentral lists this antisense RNA (80 nucleotides) under Phytobacter massiliensis. Its description in RNAcentral is "antisense RNA of dnaA mRNA". It matches the Rfam family "antisense RNA of dnaA mRNA". The record is from RNAcentral. Lineage: Bacteria; Pseudomonadati; Pseudomonadota; Gammaproteobacteria; Enterobacterales; Enterobacteriaceae.